RNAcentral lists this unclassified non-coding RNA (376 nucleotides) under uncultured bacterium. Its description in RNAcentral is "contains 16S-23S intergenic spacer region". The record is from RNAcentral.
UCCGGUUUGACACCGGCAGUCUCUCAUGAGUCCCCGACAUUACUCGCUGGCAACAUAAGAUAGGGGUUGCGCUCGUUGCGGGACUUAACCCAACACCUCACGGCACGAGCUGACGACAACCAUGCACCACCUGUGUAGGACGCCGAAGCACACCAUAUCUCUAUGGUUUUUCCCUACAUGUCGAACCCAGGUAAGGUUCUUCGCGUUGCAUCGAAUUAAACCACAUGCUCCACCGCUUGUGCAGGCCCCCGUCAAUUCCUUUGAGUUUCAGUCUUGCGACCGUACUCCCCAGGCGGCGAACUUAACGCGUUAGCUUCGAUACUGCGUGCCAAAUUGCACCCAACAUCCAGUUCGCAUCGUUUAGGGCGUGGACUAC